This 49-nucleotide non-coding RNA is filed under the name Trypanosoma brucei brucei. The record is from RNAcentral. Lineage: Eukaryota; Euglenozoa; Kinetoplastea; Trypanosomatida; Trypanosomatidae.
AUAGAACCAUAAACGCUACAAUUUAAUGUGAUAGAUGAUGAUGUAAAUA